AUCGAACGCUGGCGGCAGGCCUAACACAUGCAAGUCGAGCGGAUGAAGGGAGCUUGCUCCUGGAUUCAGCGGCGGACGGGUGAGUAAUGCCUAGGAAUCUGCCUGGUAGUGGGGGAUAACGUCCGGAAACGGGCGCUAAUACCGCAUACGUCCUGAGGGAGAAAGUGGGGGAUCUUCGGACCUCACGCUAUCAGAUGAGCCUAGGUCGGAUUAGCUAGUUGGUGGGGUAAAGGCCUACCAAGGCGACGAUCCGUAACUGGUCUGAGAGGAUGAUCAGUCACACUGGAACUGAGACACGGUCCAGACUCCUACGGGAGGCAGCAGUGGGGAAUAUUGGACAAUGGGCGAAAGCCUGAUCCAGCCAUGCCGCGUGUGUGAAGAAGGUCUUCGGAUUGUAAAGCACUUUAAGUUGGGAGGAAGGGCAGUAAGUUAAUACCCUGCUGUUUUGACGUUACCAACAGAAUAAGCACCGGCUAACUUCGUG
RNAcentral lists this ribosomal RNA (484 nucleotides) under uncultured bacterium. RNAcentral's name for it is "partial 16S ribosomal RNA". It matches the Rfam family "Bacterial small subunit ribosomal RNA", at positions 30 to 507 of the family's 1533-position model. The record is from RNAcentral.